This 248-nucleotide ribosomal RNA is filed under the name uncultured bacterium. Its description in RNAcentral is "partial 16S ribosomal RNA". It matches the Rfam family "Bacterial small subunit ribosomal RNA", at positions 57 to 305 of the family's 1533-position model. The record is from RNAcentral.
GCAAGUCGAACGGUGACACGGGUGCUUGCACCUGGUGGCGAGUGGCGAACGGGUGAGUGAUACAUCGGAACGUACCUUAUCGUGGGGGAUAACGCAGCGAAAGAUGUGCUAAUACCGCAUACGCCCUGAGGGGGAAAGAGGGGGAUCGAACGACCUCGCGCGAUUAGAGCGGCCGAUGCGUGAUUAGCUAGUUGGUGGGGUAAAGGCCCACCAAGGCGACGAUCAGUAGCUGGUCUGAGAGGACGAUC